Molecule: non-coding RNA, 30 nt
Filed under: Rattus norvegicus (Norway rat)
Lineage: Eukaryota; Metazoa; Chordata; Mammalia; Rodentia; Muridae
Source: RNAcentral
GCUGCAACUUGCUGCCACUAGCCUUCGGAA